GUUUUAAUAGUUUAUAAAAAAACAUUGGUCUUGUAAACCAAAGAAAAAUAAUGAUUUUUUAAAACU
Molecule: transfer RNA, 66 nt
Filed under: Medetera sp. Qilemoge-2020
Lineage: Eukaryota; Metazoa; Arthropoda; Insecta; Diptera; Dolichopodidae
Description: tRNA-Thr
Rfam family: tRNA
About the family: Transfer RNA (tRNA) molecules are approximately 80 nucleotides in length. Their secondary structure includes four short double-helical elements and three loops (D, anti-codon, and T loops).
Source: RNAcentral